UACGGGGGGAGCAAGCGUUGUUCGGAUUUACUGGGCGUAAAGGGCGCGUAGGCGGCCACUGCAAGUCGGUUGUGAAAUCUCCGGGCUUAACCCGGAAAGGUCAACCGAUACUGCAGGGCUAGAGUGCAGAAGGGGCAACUGGAAUUCCCGGUGUAGCGGUGAAAUGCGUAGAUAUCGAGAGGAACACCUGCGGCGAAGGCGGGUUGCUGGGCUGACACUGACGCUGAUGCGCGAAAGCUAGGGGAGCGAACGGG
Molecule: ribosomal RNA, 254 nt
Filed under: uncultured bacterium
Lineage: Bacteria
Description: partial 16S ribosomal RNA
Rfam family: Bacterial small subunit ribosomal RNA
Source: RNAcentral